Mauremys mutica (yellowpond turtle) is the source of this 1348-nucleotide long non-coding RNA. RefSeq lists it as uncharacterized. The transcript is spliced from 5 exons. Lineage: Eukaryota; Metazoa; Chordata; Testudines; Geoemydidae. The record is from RefSeq and is a predicted model, not a curated record.
GUGGCUGUAGCAGAAGAAUGUGAAGGGGAAAACUACAAUCUAGGUAGGGAACAGGACAUUAUCUUUUUUUUUUUCUGUUGAAGAAUAAACAGAGGCCUAAGGUAUUAUGGUACAUCACCUACCUGCAAUAUCUGGGCACAAUGAGCUGUAAACAGGGACAGAGAAUCAGUAACCAAUCGAACAGAGAUGGAGGCAAUCUGCAGGGAUUUCUAUACUCAGCUGUUUGCAUCACGUAUAGACGUCCCAAUGCCAUCACUUCAACAAAUGGAUGAACACAUACUCCUGGUUCUCAUUAGCAAAGUCCGCCACACAGUCCAUCAAAUGAAAGAAGGGAAAGCUUCAGUCUACCAUGCAAGGUGCCCUGAAGAUCAAUAGAAUGUGGCUCUGGUAGCCCAGGGAAGAGUAAGUUACAAAGUCAUGGGCUCUCUGUUGUGAACCUCUUUCUCCAAACAAACGUAACUAAGGACCAUCAGCUUGAGCUUUCCACUUGGCCUAAGUUGCACCUUAGAGAGAGACUGUUUGGUACUCUUUCUAUUCUGGAUAUCCAUUAAUAAAGCCUCCCUCACCAACACCCAAAUACUGCAGCAGAGCUUCAUUGAACAAACCUCUUUAUACAAGAUGUAAGGAAGAGGGAUUUGAUCUAUGAAAAGCUUGAAUGGGCCUGGAAACUGAGUAUUAACCUGAUUUAGAAGACUUGAACCAAGCCUUGAACCCAUGGAAACACCACUCCAAGGCACUGCUCAGAGGACCAGACCUUUUGAUGAAUGUCAGUUGAGAGCACUCAACACCUCCUAAGAUAGGUGAGGAGAUGUAUCUUUGGACGUUCCAGUGUCUCUGCAGUUUGACACCCAUGUAGCAUUUGGUUUAUACUCUGGAAUUUUGUAGUGCUAGAAAAUAGCUUCCUCAUUUUCAGUGUUGAGGGUCAUACCUACUUAUGUAGUAAAUAAUUCUGUACAUUCAGAGAUCUUUCUGGCUGUCAGCUUGAUGCCUGUUCAUCAAUGUGACUAUGAAAAAGAAUCGCAAUGUGACAGCAUGGUCCAUUACCAGAAAUCAGGUUUUGUGAAAGACUUUCUGCUCACUUGGGCUGCAGUUUGUAAUUACCAUGGUAAUCUGUUGUGAAAUGUUAACCCUAUAGUACAUCAAAGAGUCAUCAACAAUGGAUUACUCUACUUAGUCACCUCCUAGCCACACCUCCUUGUGUGCAGCAAUGCUCACAAUAAAAAGCAAACUUUAGUAGUCAUAAGAAAACAACAUAAUCUGAUUCACAUCAGAGAAGACUGGCAAAUAACUUUCAUUUUUCCUGUUUGCAAAAAAAAUUCUUACCACCACCCACAGCUAGUUUAACUCU